Long non-coding RNA from Gossypium arboreum, 799 nucleotides. RefSeq lists it as uncharacterized. Lineage: Eukaryota; Viridiplantae; Streptophyta; Magnoliopsida; Malvales; Malvaceae. The transcript has 2 exons. The record is from RefSeq and is a predicted model, not a curated record.
AAAAAGAAAAAAUCCUAGUUACAUGCGAAGUUUUUUUUUCAUUUUCUCUAACUUACUUUCUCUCUAAAAAGAGUAAGGUCUUGCCUUUUUUUUUCGGUGUGGCCAAUUUUUGCUCCGAUCGCCGCCAGCCAGCCACUCUUUUGCAUGGUCUCUUAAGUAUAAUAAACUCAAAUCUCACUCCUUUUUCCUUGGUUUCUAGUCGUCUUAUUUAAGGUGGUGUCCUUUUCUUUUGUUUUUCUUUUUUAGGUUUGUUUCCUCCAUGGCAAGCCUCAAUCUCCUUGUUAGAUGGCAUCAUUGCUAGUUUUUUUCAUUAGCUGGAGUUCUAUUCAUUCCUGGGUUUUGUCGCACCAAACACCUUCAUUUAGUGAUUAAGGGCACUUUAUGGCCAGUGGAUCUCCUCCAUCACCACUCCUCAACUAGUUUUCAUGAUGAUUAACAAUGUCUUUUUUGGGUUAGUUAAUGCAUGGACUCCUACUAGAGGCAUUCGUGUUGAUAACGGGUAUAAUCGCCUUGCUUCUUGCAUUUCUAGCUACCUAUGGCGUUCCUUUUUCUACCCCUCCAAUAGACUUAUGCAUGGGUCAGGCUUCAACUUAGCCCGACCAAUGAACACAUUUACUCCUCGAUGAUGGUGACCUUGAGUUCGGCAAGGGGCUAGGGUUUCUUAACAAUGUAUGAUAUUAGGCUUGGGUAUUUUUGGGCCCUUUGUUUUUUUUUUUUAAUUUGUAUCUUGUUUUGAGCCUUUUAGGUUUAGUUGUACAUGAUCCAUUUUUUAAUGAAUGCUAAAUAUUGAAAUAAAUCA